UACGGGGGGGGCAAGCGUUGUUCGGAAUUACUGGGCGUAAAGGGCUCGUAGGCGGCCAACUAAGUCCGACGUGAAAUCCCCAGGCUCAACCUGGGAACUGCGUCGGAUACUGGAUGGCUUGAAUUCGGGAGAGGGAUGCAGAAUUCCAGGUGUAGCGGUGAAAUGCGUAGAUAUCUGGAGGAAUACCGGUGGCGAAGGCGGCAUCCUGGACCGACAUUGACGCUGAGGAGCGAAAGCUAGGGGAGCAAACGGG
This 253-nucleotide ribosomal RNA is filed under the name uncultured bacterium. RNAcentral describes it as "partial 16S ribosomal RNA". It matches the Rfam family "Bacterial small subunit ribosomal RNA", at positions 524 to 776 of the family's 1533-position model. The record is from RNAcentral. RNAcentral also lists the same sequence under 1 other name.